RNAcentral lists this ribosomal RNA (500 nucleotides) under uncultured bacterium. Its description in RNAcentral is "partial 16S ribosomal RNA". It matches the Rfam family "Bacterial small subunit ribosomal RNA", at positions 30 to 523 of the family's 1533-position model. The record is from RNAcentral.
AUUGAACGCUGGCGGAAUGCUUUACACAUGCAAGUCGAACGGCAGCACGGACUUCGGUCUGGUGGCGAGUGGCGAACGGGUGAGUAAUGUAUCGGAACGUGCCCAGUCGUGGGGGAUGACGUAGUGCACAUUACGCUAAUACCGCAUACGAUCCAUGGAUGAACUCGGGGGAUCGCAAGACCUCGCGCGAUUGGACCGGACGAUAUACGAUUAGGUAGCUGGUAGGGUAAAGGCCCACCAAGCAAACGAUCUGUAGCUGGUCUGAGAGGACGACCAGCAACACUGGAAGUGAGAAACGGUCCAGACUACUACGGGGGGCAGCAGUGGGGAAUUUUGGACAAUGGGCGAAAGCCUGAUCCAGCCAUUCCGCGUGCAGGAUGAAGGCACUCGGGUUGUAAACUGCUUUUGUACAGAACGAAAAGGUUUCUACUAAUACUAGGAGCUCAUGACGGUACUGUAAGCAUAAGUACCGGCUAACUACGUGCCAGCAGCCGCGGUAA